Non-coding RNA from Macaca mulatta (Rhesus monkey), 1864 nucleotides. NCBI's taxonomy places the organism in Eukaryota, Metazoa, Chordata, Mammalia, Primates, Cercopithecidae. The record is from RefSeq and is a predicted model, not a curated record.
UCGUGAGAAUAAGUAUACAAGAGGAUGUCAGAUUUGUUCUGAAACAGUUGUUGAGAAGUUUUGAGUGGCUGGCCAGGACUUACAGCCCACAUACUCAGCCACCAGAUGCAAUCUCCAAUAUGAGCGGGCUUUGGGAAAACACAAUCGGAAUCGGGCAAGUGAAGUUUGUUGCAGACAAGUUCUUCUUUCCCUCUGCCACAACCUCCUCCAAGGCAUAGCAGCAAAUCAGCCUUUCAGAAUAUUGCAGGAUCAGCAGCAGAAGUCCCUUUGCCAGAGAAAUGGACAAAAAAAAAAAGAAGGAAAGAUGGAAUGAGGGGAGCAACAACGGAGGAUGGUGGAAGUGUUCUUCAGGUCUAAUUUUGGGUUCUAGAAACAUCUGGCCAAAUAACGUCUUUCAUAACUAAAAUGGAAUAUAAAGAAGCCAUUUGACCUGCCUCAGUUGUCAUGGUCAUCAUGACAAGCCACAGCAGGACAAAUCAGCUUAACAAUUUCGGAAACUGCCAGAAAUGCUAUUUGGACUAAUUUUUAUUUGAGAGUUGGCUAAAACUGGUCACAUCCCAAAAUACCUCAAGAUAAACAACGUAACAUUAUCAUAUAAACCUAUGUUCACCAAAUUAGGUUAAAAUAAGCUCUUUUGAGAAGGUUGAAUUUUUUAUGAGGAUUAUUCCCAAAAUAUGUUUAGACACAAGCAGUUCAACUUUUCUUUUUUCCAUAUUUGAUAUCAAUCAAACUAAAUUUUUACGUGUUUAGAAUUGUAUUAAUUGUAUUCUUCAGUUACCUAUAAAAUUUGAUUAUCAUGUCUUUAUGGAAAUUUUAAUAUCAGAUAUAGAUUAAAGAAUGGCAUAUUUAAAAUGACGUUUUAAUACUUUAUAAGAAGCAACAGAAAUUUGACUUCCAAAACACCUCUCAGUACUACCAUUGGAGUACAUCUAUAUUUUUCUGUCAGAAUAUGUUCCAAAGCAAACAUAAGUAAUCCUUAUUUUCGUGAUACAUUGACGCUCAAAAGUUGUGUGUUCAGCAUGUCUACAAUUAAAUUACCACACAUUUGAAACAGCAGACUAAAACUGACGUAACAUCUGGAAAAAAUUGCUCUAAUUGCUAGGCCCUAAAUUCAUCUGACCUUGACACUCUCAUCUGAAUUUAAAAGUGUUUUAAAUUCUUAGCCAAUCAAUUCAAGCCAGAACUGAAUUCAUGUGUUUUCAGAAAAUGUUAAGCUAGAACAACGUAACUAGAGUAGAUUCCUGGUCAAACUUUGGUUUUGUUCAGGUAUCCACUCAUUUCCUAGGUGACCCAGAGGCCACAACUCACAACUCCACCCCUUCCUGUGGCUAGUCCAGGCUGUGCCAAUCUUGUAGUCUUGAAGUCCUGGCAAUGGGCGGGGGUGGGAGCUGACCCACUGCUGACCAACAUGUCAAAAACAGAUGGCUGUGGAGCCCUCUGGAAAAGCUUCCCUCAUUCUUACGGAAUCUUGUGAAGGGAUGGUCUGUUUCUGUCCUGUUCCCUGGAUGUCAAAUGUCUGGGUUUGAGACCCAGAACUCCUGAAACCAUCUCACAACUACAAGAGGAGCAGAUGCAGCCACUGAGGAUGGCCAAGCAGAGGGAGGGAGGACUGUUCCUGCCAGCAUCGCCAGUGGCUGAAUCACUCAGCCCAGAGCCCCCACGGCACCCUAAAUGUCCUCUUGACAGAUGGAAAACGUUGUCUUACUGUUUGUGCCUGUGAGAAAAGUCCCUUUUGCUUGCAGUGAAGGCAUCCCAGUUGAUACAAAUGAAAUUUGAAAAUUAGAGAUUUCAUGGAACCAAUGUUUCCUUUGUUUCAGUUCAUUUUCAUGGCUCAUCUUUUAAAUAAACCCUCUAUUGAAUUGUU